GACGAACGCUGGCGGCGUGCUUAACACAUGCAAGUCGAACGAAGAGCGAUGGACGCUUGCUUCUAUCAAUCUUAGUGGCGAACGGGUGAGUAACGCGUAAUCAACCUGCCCUUCAGAGGGGGACAACAGUUGGAAACGACUGCUAAUGCCGCAUACGAUCUGACCUCGGCAUCGAGGAUAGAUGAAAGGUGGCCUCUAUUUAUAAGCUAUCACUGAAGGAGGGGAUUGCGUCUGAUUAGCUAGUUGGAGGGGUAACGGCCCACCAAGGCGAUGAUCAGUAGCCGGUCUGAGAGGAUGAACGGCCACAUUGGGACUGAGACACGGCCCAGACUCCUACGGGAGGCAGCAGUGGGGAAUCUUCCGCAAUGGACGAAAGUCUGACGGAGCAACGCCGCGUGAGUGAUGACGGCCUUCGGGUUGUAAAGCUCUGUUAAUCGGGACGAAAGGCCUUCUUGCGAAUAGUUAGAAGGAUUGACGGUACCGGAAGAGAAAGCCACGGCUAACUACGUG
This 510-nucleotide ribosomal RNA is filed under the name uncultured bacterium. RNAcentral describes it as "partial 16S ribosomal RNA". It matches the Rfam family "Bacterial small subunit ribosomal RNA", at positions 28 to 507 of the family's 1533-position model. The record is from RNAcentral.